UACGUAGGGGGCAAGCGUUGUCCGGAAUCAUUGGGCGUAAAGCGCGUGUAGGCGGCCAGAAAAGUCCGCUGUGAAAACUCGAGGCUCAACCUCGAGCUGUCGGUGGAAACUUUCUGGCUAGAGUCCGGAAGAGGCGAGUGGAACUCCUGGUGUAGCGGUGGAAUGCGCAGAUAUCAGGAAGAACACCAACGGCGAAGGCAGCUCGCUAGGACGGUACUGACGCUGAGACGCGAAAGCGUGGGGAGCGAACAGG
Molecule: ribosomal RNA, 253 nt
Filed under: uncultured bacterium
Lineage: Bacteria
Description: partial 16S ribosomal RNA
Rfam family: Bacterial small subunit ribosomal RNA
Source: RNAcentral